CAUCAUGGCUCAGGACGAACGCGGCGGCGUGCUUAACACAUGCAAGUCGAGCGAGGCUCUUCUCUUCGGAGAGGAUGCCCUAGCGGCGAACGGGUGAGUAACACGUGGGCAACCUGCCUCUAGCACUGGGAUAACUCCGGGAAACCGGGGCUAAUACCGGAUACGACCUCUGAGGGCAUCCUCCGGAGGUGGAAAGCAUUGUGGCUAGAGAUGGACCCGCGGCGCAUUAGCUAGUUGGAGAGGUAAAGGCUCACCAAGGCGACGAUGCGUAGCCGACCUGAGAGGGUGAUCGGCCACAUUGGAACUGAGAGACGGUCCAGACUCCUACGGGAGGCAGCAGUGGGGAAUAUUGCACAAUGGGGGAAACCCUGAUGCAGCAAACGCCGGCGUGAGUGAAGAAGGCUCGGGGUUGUAAAACCUGUUGAAGGGAACGAUAUGAACGGUACCCUCGAAAGUCCACGGGCUAAAUAACGUGC
RNAcentral lists this ribosomal RNA (476 nucleotides) under uncultured bacterium. Its description in RNAcentral is "bacterial SSU rRNA". It matches the Rfam family "Bacterial small subunit ribosomal RNA", at positions 15 to 508 of the family's 1533-position model. The record is from RNAcentral.